RNAcentral lists this ribosomal RNA (489 nucleotides) under uncultured bacterium. RNAcentral's name for it is "partial 16S ribosomal RNA". It matches the Rfam family "Bacterial small subunit ribosomal RNA", at positions 28 to 507 of the family's 1533-position model. The record is from RNAcentral.
GACGAACGCUGGCGGCGUGCUUAACACAUGCAAGUCGAACGGUGAAGGGAUCAGCUUGCUGGUUCUGGAUGAGUGGCGAACGGGUGAGUAACACGUGAGUAACCUGCCCCCUUCUUCUGGAUAACCGCAUGAAAGUGUGGCUAAUACGGGAUAUUCUGGGUCUGUCGCAUGAUGGGUCUGGGAAAGAUAUUGUUUCGGUGGGGGAUGGGCUCGCGGCCUAUCAGCUUGUUGGUGGGGUGAUGGCCUACCAAGGCGGUGACGGGUAACCGGCCUGAGAGGGUGGACGGUCACACUGGGACUGAGACACGGCCCAGACUCCUACGGGAGGCAGCAGUGGGGAAUAUUGCACAAUGGGCGCAAGCCUGAUGCAGCGACGCCGCGUGAGGGAUGGAGGCCUUCGGGUUGUAAACCUCUUUCGCCAGUGAAGCAGGCCUGCUCCUUGUGGGUGGGUUGACGGUAGCUGGAUAAGAAGCGCCGGCUAACUACGUG